ACCUUGGAAUUUCUUUGGAAUUUUUCGUUUUAUAAGACGAUAAUAGAUGAACAAUUAUUUCUGUUUUAUAUUAUUUUACUGAAUUAGGUAUUAUUUUCCUGCAUAAUUCAAUGAACUAAUAUAAAGCUAAAAACAAUGUGCUUCUAUUGUUUCUUUAUAAAACGAAAGAAACUUAUCGGACAACCUACUACUAUCGAUAGAAUUUAAGAAACACCAUAAAUAUAGACACCUUGGAAUUUCUUUGGAAUUUUUCGUUUUGUAAGACGAUAAUUUCUAUUUUAUAUUACUUUAUCGAAUUAGGUAUCACCCAUUUUCCUUCUAUUUCUAUUAUUAUUUUCCUGCAUAAUUCAAUGAAUUAAUAUAAAACUAAAAACAAUGUGCUUCUAUUGUUUCUUUAUAAAACGAAAGAAACUUAUCGGACAACCUACUACUAUCAAUAGAAUUUAAUAAACACCAUAAAUAUAGACA
This 468-nucleotide unclassified non-coding RNA is filed under the name Bombus terrestris (buff-tailed bumblebee). RNAcentral describes it as "misc RNA ENSBTSG00005020480.1". The record is from RNAcentral. Lineage: Eukaryota; Metazoa; Arthropoda; Insecta; Hymenoptera; Apidae.